UGGGGAAUCUUGCGCAAUGGGCGAAAGCCUGACGCAGCAACGCCGCGUGCGGGAUGAAGGCCUUCGUGGUUGUAAACCGCUUUCAGCAGGGACGAAAAUGACGGUACCUGCAGAAGAAGCCCCGGCUAACUACGUGCCAGCAGCCGCGGUAAUACGUAGGGGGCGAGCGUUGUCCGGAAUCAUUGGGCGUAAAGAGCUCGUAGGCGGUUCAGUAAGUCAGGUGUGAAAGCUCCGAGCUCAACUCGGAGAGGCCACCUGAUACUGCUGUGACUAGAAUCCAGUAGGGGAGUGUGGAACUCCUGGUGUAGCGGUGAAAUGCGCAGAUAUCAGGAAGAACACCAGCGGCGAAGGCGGCACUCUGGGCUGGUAUUGACGCUGAGGAGCGAAAGUGUGGGUAGCAAACAGG
RNAcentral lists this ribosomal RNA (406 nucleotides) under uncultured bacterium. Its description in RNAcentral is "bacterial SSU rRNA". It matches the Rfam family "Bacterial small subunit ribosomal RNA", at positions 355 to 776 of the family's 1533-position model. The record is from RNAcentral.